Molecule: unclassified non-coding RNA, 254 nt
Filed under: fungal sp.
Lineage: Eukaryota; Fungi
Description: partial internal transcribed spacer region
Rfam family: Eukaryotic small subunit ribosomal RNA (bases 1-46)
Source: RNAcentral
AAGUCGUAACAAGGUUUCCGUAGGUGAACCUGCGGAAGGAUCAUUACCAAAUCCAAAACUUUAUCAACACCAAACAAGUGAACUGAGAAUGGUUUCGUUCCCCUCUGCAUGUGCAUACAAUGUGUUUCCACAUUCGUGCGUGUGCGAAGGGGGAUGUUUUUUUUCAACCCCUUUUCAACCUCUUACAAUCUUUUAUGCUGAAAGCAAAAAAACGAAACAUGAGACAACUUUUAACGGUGGAUCUCUUGGCUCGU